GGACUUGCCAUGAAUGAAUUGAAAGUUUUUGUAAAUUUAACUGAUAAAUUAUUAAAGUUGGUACUUAAAUAUAGGUAUUUUGUUAAGUGAUUUUUUAUGAUUUUAAUGUUUAAGGAUUUAUUUGUGAAAAUGAUAAAAGUUAAGUUAAAUAUUGUGAAAUGAUGGAAAAUAUGGGUUGCUUAGAAUCUCCAUAAAAUUUUUCUAACAUGAAUUUUUUUCUAAUUGUGGUUAAUUUG
This 236-nucleotide long non-coding RNA is filed under the name Gossypium barbadense (sea-island cotton). RNAcentral describes it as "long non-coding RNA (GBAR_LNC017838)". Lineage: Eukaryota; Viridiplantae; Streptophyta; Magnoliopsida; Malvales; Malvaceae. The record is from RNAcentral.